RNAcentral lists this unclassified non-coding RNA (7090 nucleotides) under Leishmania donovani. RNAcentral describes it as "gene:LdHU3.26.2520(CDS-product:Domain_of_unknown_ function_(DUF4457)_putative)". The record is from RNAcentral. Lineage: Eukaryota; Euglenozoa; Kinetoplastea; Trypanosomatida; Trypanosomatidae.
CCUCGCUGCUUUUCUUUCCGGUGCUCCCCCUUCCCCCAACCUCAGCGACUGUCGAGGACGGUGCAGGCGGACCUUUUGUGUGUGUGGGUGUGUUGGCAGGGAAGGAGAAGGGGAAGGAGGGGCUUGCUGGGCGGACGGCUGGCGUCUCUGUCGCUUGCACUGCCUCCUCCCACCGAUGCUUCCGGUUUUCGCAGUACGUGCGUGUCCUUGCCUCAUGUCAGCGCUGUGCUUCGGAGGGACGAGCCAGGCGCUAAUUUACACAUGAACAUGUUUGCUUAUACACGCAUACCGGUGCGUCAGUGGCACUAGAGAGGGAGAGAGAGGCACACCAGCGCAAGAAGGACAGAGACACCAACUCUGAAGCCCGCCAACUGACCGAAUAGACGGAUGACAGUCUCGAACGCCCUCAGCUCGGGCGACGUGAAGACGAAAAAUGAGUGUCUUGUGCUUCAAUGUGUGUGUAUGUGUGUAUGUGCAUGCCAGAGGGAAAGCGUGCACCGACACGCUCGUGGCCUCGUCUUCAUCUGCUGCCGCUCGGCCCCUCCGCUUUUCCGUCUCUCUCUUGGGCUUGCUUGAGCGUGACUCUUUGAGCGUCGCUUCGCCGCUGCAAAGCGCAGCCACAGACCCCCGCCCCCGCCCCCCAUUCGCCCGUGCUCGUAUACGAACACACACACACACACACACACAUGGGCACAGACCCCCGCCCCCCUCCCCCUUCACACGUCUAGAGGCAUAUUUGCUGUUUGCCAUUUGGAAUCACCUUCUUGAGAAGACGGCACCCACAGUUCAUGAGGGCGGAAUGCGACAGAGACGUCGAGGGCGCCGAGGUCGCCGCUGAUGCCGCGGGCCCUAGGCGCGUUCCUGGUGGCAGCUGCAGCCCCAGCAGCAUUGACGCUGUACCUUCCAGUACGCAAGCCAGCGAGUGCGGCUCAGGGCAGGUGAGUCGAGAAAACGAAACUCCGAAGGCGGUGCUGAAGCAUGUUGCUGUCAACGUUACCAGCGCUUCACCGCGAGCGGAAGAGGCUCCUUUCCUCGCAGCGACGUCCGUGGCGAUGCACGGGACACAAAGCACACAGGAGCUCAGCCCCACCGACUUGCAGGGGCACAAAGGAUCCCGCACUGUCGACGCCGGAUCUCCGCAUCCUCGUUGCGGGUUCCCGAUCAAGUCACUCUUCAUGACGCGCUCCACGCGCAUCUCGAUCCUCUCCAAUCAUUCUCACAAAACUUCACAAACGCAGCUCCCCACAGCUGCGUCGACCACGGCAGGCGACGCGAUCAGCGACGCUGUUGAUGAUGCGCCGGAGCUAGUGGACGCCGGAUCGUCACCAUCCCACUCUUCGGCCCCUCUCCCGCUUAUGCCGCCAGCCACUACGCCGUACAGACUGAGCCGCCUCUCUCGCAGCGCUGCGACCGUUUCUGCGGCCACGUCAGCGUCUGAGGUGCCAGAAGGGCGUUACAGCGACAGCAGAGCGCCUGCCGAGCUUUUCGCUUCUUCGCGUGCUGCUCCUGCUGCUGGAGUCGCUCCGGUGGUCCAUGCCGUUGAUUUCGACAUUCACCGAGACAUUCAUGUGAGGGAGGCGGCGCUACUCAGGAGCGUUGCUCAAGAGGGCGAUCAAACCACGUCAAACUCGCUGGAUGGGGUACUGCCACCACCGCAUUUUUUCACGCCAGUCAACCGCACGUUCACUUCCGCCGCUGGGCUCACUGGUGACUCGACUGGUUUUUCAUCUGCGCAACCCCUCUUCUCUUCUUCUGCCGUCGUCAAUGCCGUGCAGCGUGCUCAGACGCGGAUGGAGGCCACUCAUGCCCGUAGCCAGCGGCUUCGUCGCACACCGGAGCUCUCUGCUCGCCAUCAUCCGCGAGCGGCCAGCGGUGUUGACGCUUUGCUGUCUUCGGCAUCGUCAUCCCUGCUGACGCAGCUGUGGCAGCAGCGCGCGCAGGCUACAUCGCGGUCCUCCGUAUACAGGGACAUCCACGAUGCGCCGGCGGGCAUGCCUGGCCGCAGCGCGCCGCUGCCGCGACGCGGACUUCACGUGCCCGGCGGCAGUGCUGAUCCGAUCUACACAACAGCAGUGGCGAAUGUCACCGAUGCCAUUGGAGGCGGGGAUCGAAGCAGGGACGGCGUGCUUGGCCAACGCGGAGUCGCGCUUCCGUCAGCUGACUCGCCAUUUCUUCACUGUGAUCUCGCGGAAAACACGGCGAGUUGCUCACCGUCGGUAGCGGCGGCAACCGAGGUCGGGACGCCGACUGUGACCGAGGCGGCGUGCCGUGCCCCGGAUACAACUGAGUCGUCGAUCGCUUCGUGCGCGAGUACAUCGCCGGUGAGCUUGACCGCCUCACAGCAUCCUACUUCCCUUAUCCCUUACUCCACAGAGUCCCCUAGCAGAAGCGCGCUGGCCAGUCCGGAAGGCUCCUGUGUGUUGGCCCCGCCUGCGUUGGUACCGCCCACCACGCUGCCGCCAACGGCAUCCUCCUGUGGUGAGUCGGCAAAGGCACUGCUCACUGCACCUUGCUCGAAUGCUUGUGGGGACUGUCAGAUCGUCAACGGCGGCGGUGGCGGCGCUCUCUACCUCGAUGGGGGACAAACAGCGGAUGAGCUCCCGUGCUCAGAUGACGCAGCCAGUAGUGCCGAGUGCUACAGUGCUUUCGCAGGUGUUAUGUCUGACACCAUGGGGCUGGCACCGGUGCUGGCAGACACAAUGCCGCAUGGCCGAUGUUUUACAUUGAACAUGUUGACCACCUGGGGAGACGCGCACGAGGUGGGUCUCUGCGGGCUGGAGCUGUUCGACGACCGUGGCCAGCGAUUGCUGCCAUGCCGCGCAGCAGCUACGGGGACGGCAGCGGUGGUGUCGCAGACGGCGUCUGUGGAAGGCAACGUCGUCAUACUGGCGGCCACGCCGCCGAACGGGUUUGUGCGCGCCUUCGCCGAGUACACGGCAACCGAGACGAAUUUGGUGGCGGCGAGUAACGCUGCUGCCGCGGGUGGUGAGGACGCCGCGCAGGUCGGCCCGAGUGAUGAUGCCGUGUGUGGAGAUCCGCGGCGGCAGCUCCGCACGCUGAUCUGCCCACACCCCCUUAACACGCACGACGAGGCGCACAUGUUCGCCGUGCCGUACACGGCGGGCAAGCCGCACCUUGUCAGCUUUGUUUUUGCAGAGCCGGUUCGACUCUCUGUGAUGCGGCUCCACAACUACGCUGGCAGGGGCCGCGCGCACACCACGAAGGGCGUGCGCAUUGCCGAGGCGUGGAUGGAGGAGACGGUGGUCUUCCGCGGCGAGGUGCGCGCGAACUCUGGAGAGCUGUGCCGUGGAGAGAGUGCGGAGGAGGCGGAGGACGGUGUUGCUCACAGGCAGGGCGAUCAGCACGCCAGCCAACCCUCAUCUCUGCCUCUUUCGACAUCUUUCUCUCCGUACGGCCUUGAGAACUGCGAGAACGUUCUGUGGACGACGGAUGCCGCAGUGCUGGCACGCGUCAUGGCGCACGGCCCCCCCUCUACGACGCCACCAAUGCGCGAGGUGGACGACAGCGAUGACACACACGGCCGCCGGCGCACUGCUGGGGUUUCGUUGGAGGGUGGGGCAGCUGUACCACGCCGUAUGGCGCCAACGUCUACCGCACGCGACGAUACGCUCAGUGGCAAUCCAGCGCCUUGCCGCCCUGUGUCUGCUCGCCCUUCGACGACGACGCGAAGGUCGCGAGCCCCACCUGUGCGCUUUAGCUUCUGCAGUGCACGACAGGCGGACACUACCAUGCUGCGCCGCCGUCGUGCCUCAGCUGGCGGUGAACCGGGCCUACGAGGCGACAAAGACGCUGUGACCCCCUUGCAGGCCUGUUCUGCUUGCUUUCCUCGCCCCAGUGGUGCAGUCGAGGCGUGGGCCGACGUUGCGACGGACGCGCGUGUGCACCAGGUGCCCGUCGGCUGCACAACUGAUUCAGCGCAGCCAGAGCUGCACAGCGGCUCUGGCCAAGACGACCGCCAGCAGCGCAAGCAACGACGCCGCCACCUCAAUCGGCAGGCGGUGCUCGACCCUGAUCGGUGUCCUCGACGAGUGACAGCGAUUUGCGUGAUGGUGCUGAGCACUUGGGGAGCGACGCAGCACGUCGGCCUCAGCUGUCUCCGGCUAAGGGAUGCAAGCGGUGACGUUGUCGGCUCUGUGGAUGUGCAGUGUGCCGCCCUCCACUACCCAGAUGGCACCAGCUCCAUUUGUGCAAGCCAUAGCUGCAGCGGCAGUAGUGCGACAGGCACGAUCGAGAACCGCCACCACGCUCCCAGCGCCGCGUGUAACAACGACGGCAGCAACGGUUCAGUGAAAGCGCAGGAUGAUGCUGGCUGCGGUGGUGAGUGCGGCCUCUCGAGGACUGUUCGCGGAUUGCUGCACAGUGAGGCGCACUCGGAGGAAGCGGCCCGUGGCGCCAAUCAGCAGGAUUGCCCUUCUGGUCCGUGCCUCCUCCCAUUUCAGAGCAGCAUGCAGCUCGUCUUUAUCUUUCGCGACCCGAUCCCCUCGCUGGGCUUCCUCGAUGUCGCGAAUUACUCGGUGGGGGAUCAGACGUGCUGCGGGGUGAAGGAUGCGCGUGUCUUCUUCGCCGAGGAGGCAGAGGAGGGCGCUACCGCUGCUACUUCGCCCCGUCCUUCAGCGGAGGUGUUUCGCCAGCUGUGGUAUGCCGGUGCCUCCUCGCAGAGUCGACACGCUUUGGCGGCGGCGCGAGUGUACGAGGUGACCCCGUCGGCUGGCGUGACGCUCCGGAAGGCACCUGCCUUUCUGGACUCUGCCCGCUUCCAGAGCUACGACGUAUCUUUGUACGGCCCUGGUUUGCCACCACCUCGAAUCGCUUUUCCAUCGACAGCAACUGUGCGGGACGACGACACUGCCGCCGCUACUGCUACUGCCAUACUCGAUGCACAAGCCCCACGAAGCAAUCUUCAGCGAGCGCUGCCGCUGCCAACGCAUGACACUGGCAUGCUUUUUGCCAAUCAUUUCGGCCGCUACGAAAUCGCGUCCGGUCUCGGAACCGGCGGCGCCGGCAGCAGCAGCACCAAGACGGAGGUGUUUUCAAUCAGCAACAUCAAUGUGAAUGGGGAUGGGGGCCAGUCGUGUGCCCAACGCCACCAUGACCGCGCCAGCUCUUUUUCCUUAGCGGGCAGCCUCGGCGCCUCCAUGAACAUCCGGGCCAACGUGGCGAUGCACCGCGCGCGCAUGUCCCUUCUGCAAGAGCGGCCGGCGUGGCUGCUGGAGUACCAACCGUAUGUGACGCCACUCUUGCCAGUGGGGUACGUGUGCAAGCUGCGGCUGACAGUGUGCGCGCGCGAUGUCCCUGCUGGUGAGCCUCUCGACCCCUCCGCUGACUGUCGUGCGGGGGCAAAGGAGGCGAAACCUCCCUACGCGAGCGCCGCUGCCACAUCUUCUGUGGCGACGGCGCCGGUAUUGGGGGAGGCGCCGGCAAAGGUAGCUGCUGUAAUCACAGCCGGCGACUCUCUGAAGGCGUACUUGAAGGAGUGGCUCGUGCAGCCGCUCCGCGCCUGCAGCUUUGUGAACGAACGCGGCGACGUGGUCAAGCCUAUGCGUCCAGACAAGUACCGCGCCAUGAUGCACGAGGCGGCGGCGCGGCGCCACGGUACACCUUGGCAAGACGGUAACGGUGAUGGGGAUGCGCAGCACGAGCGCGCACUGGCACGGUGUGUGCCGAUGGUAGCGGAGAGCAUGGUGAGCGCUGUGCACGCAAAUCGCCACAGCUCCGUGGCGAGUAUGCACGCGAUGCCAUCGCCGCAGCCGCCUCUGCAGGUCGUUGUGGAGCUGCUUUACGUCGCGGACGUGCCGUUUUGCAUCUCGCUCGUGGCUCUUCACAAGCCCCUCGUAGUGCGCGGCUCGGCGGCGUGGGUCCGGCAGGUGCAGGUCUUCGUGGAUGACGCGCUUGUCUUCUCUAGCGGAGAGGCUUCUUUACGACUGACACAGACCCCAUCAGGGAAUGGUGCUGCGCGCGACCCAGGUGUUGGCGCCGGGGCGCGGGCCGGCGAUGCCUGGGAUGCUACGGGACCAGCAGCAUCUGGCGGCUUCGGACCCCAGCUUAACAACGGCCAAGGCAGCGCGGCUGAUGCUGCAAGCCAGGGCGCACAACUGUGGGGAGACCUUCCGGAAUGUGCGACGUCCUUGAAGCCUUAUGUGGUCUUCACGCUCGACCCAGACCUACUCGACGACCUAUGCGCUGAAGCAACGGGUGCUUCCUCGUCAUAGCCGUCUUGAGCCUCGCGCAGGAGGAAGAGACCUGGAGGUGGGCGAAGAGGGCGGGCGGGGCGCGGGGAGUUGAAGCAGUGGCGGUGGCUACAGUAGCACCAUGACGGGUGACCCGGAGCGAUGUGUGGAUAUCCGCACGAUAACGGCAACAGGCAAGCCUGUCAAGACUAGCUCGUGUGCUGUGCAAGAGAACCCAAGGUGGGAGAUGUCUUCAAGAGGAUGUCUGCGAGGGGGGGCGAAGCGGCACCGGCAAGAGAAGAGGUCCGAUCGCAGAGGAGGGGGGAGGCAGGCGGGAGGAGGGAGCAGGGCGAAGCGCUCGUAGCCCUUUCUAUCCUCUCGUGCUGGAUCUGUUGCAUGGCCACGCUCCUCCUCUCUCUUCCUUUUCCUCCUCUUGACGACGCUGCUUUUUGUUUGGGUUUUCUUGCGUGUGUCGAGUGCUGCCGUGGAGCCGAUUGACUGUCUUGCUCUGCCGUUCCACAUGCGCCGCUCCCUCCUCCUUCGCGUCUGUGUACACGCCGUAUGCUGCCUCAUCCCUGCGCUGUACGGGGGCAGGGUCCGUCGUUGUUCGUUGGGUUGUAUGGGGAAGAGGGAGAUAGAUGAGGUCGAGAGAAAUGGAUUGCACAGGGAUGGCGACGCGAUAGUGGCUCGCCGCUCCUUGUCACUCUUGUCCUUUUCCUUCUCUCUCUUGGCCCCUCUCCGCUGACUUCCAUCAGGCCUCGAUACGGUCCUCUUGACCGCUUCUCGGUUACUCGACGCGGGGGUCUGUCGGUGCGCAGCUACUGACUUAUGCUACGGUAUAGGUGCACCUAAGAACGGCGAAUAAUGGCGAAUCUUGCGUCUCCGCAUCUCCUCUCCCGCAG